Molecule: ribosomal RNA, 176 nt
Filed under: uncultured freshwater bacterium
Lineage: Bacteria
Description: partial 16S ribosomal RNA
Rfam family: Bacterial small subunit ribosomal RNA
Source: RNAcentral
AAGGACCGUAGAUAUUGGACAUGGACGCAAGUCUGAUCCAGCCAUGCCGCGUGAAGGAUUAAGGUCCUCUGGAUUGUAAACUUCUUUUAUAAGGGACGAAAAAAGGCUUUUCUAAGUCGUCUGACGGUACCUUAUGAAUAAGCACCGGCUAACUCCGUGCCAGCAGCCGCGGUAAU